Molecule: long non-coding RNA, 1188 nt
Organism: Arvicola amphibius (Eurasian water vole)
Lineage: Eukaryota; Metazoa; Chordata; Mammalia; Rodentia; Cricetidae
Exons: 2
Source: RefSeq, a predicted model, not a curated record
CCCUAAGAAUAAAAUAAUAAGGGCUGGCAAGAUGGCUUAGAAGGCAAAAUAAACCUGUCUCCAAGCCCGAUGACCUGAGUUAAAUCCUGGGGGCCCACAUGGUGGAAGCAGCAAACAGACUCCUCUGACCUUCACAUGUGGUGUGGUGCACCCUCUACAAAUAAGUAAAAAUUAAAUAAAAAAUCAAAGUCAUCAAUAAGGAAACUGCCCACCCCUUGCCUGUUUUCUUUAGGGCCUACCUGUGCAAGCUCAAGGCUGAACAGACGAUCUCCAGUGCUCCACAUUUUUAUCAGUCUCGCUAGUUCACAGAGAACUGAGAAAGGAAUGAGCUAAUACUUACCUUGAGCCAUCUGAGAAGAUCUUCCUUAACUUCUGAAGACUCAUGGCAAAGAAGUCAUUGCAGUGAAUCCUAAACUCUAAUUUGCACCCAAAUGAAUUAAUUUGCUCUCCCCACAUAAGACAACAGACUGCGUUAAAAGCACUAUCGAUCCAGAAGUGGGAAGACGGAACUCAUUUCCCAUUCCUUCAUUAAGCCCUGAAAUAAAGGGCAGGUACGAUGUGGAGCUGCAUCCUGCAGCGAGGGAUGAAGAUCCGUGAAGAAGGCUGCCCCAGGGCCCUGCUCACCCUCCUUCCACUCGCCACGGUAUUCCUCCCCACUGGAGUACGUAAAGGAACCUUUCGUCAGCGUCAUGGUGGUUGCUGGCGGGAGGAAAGGAUGACACCUGUAAGAAACAGAGAAGCCGGUGUCACCCAGGGCGGAGGGCCUGAGGCUGAGCUCUGUGGAGGGCAUCCUACCUCAGGUGUACUUAACGAAAUGCCCUCCCCGACACCCACCGCCACCUCACCCUGCUUCUCUAAGUUUUCAGCCAGCUCCUGCUUCCUAUGACCUGGGAUGGAAAUAGAAGCUCAGUCUGCAAAUGUUUCCUUGAUGUCUACCACGAGCUUAGAUGUAUAAAAGAGUCUCUCUCCUCAGUGAAGUUAUAGCAUGGUUGGUGAAACACCAAACUAUCCCAGAGACAAUGUAAUUCUGUCAACUCAGAUGGCGCAUAUCAGCGAGUACAGGGGUGAGCAGCCCUCACCAGAGCCAUGGCUGUAAUCCCAGCGCUUGGGAAGCAGAGGCAGAGAUCAUGUGUUCAAAGCCAUCCUUAGCUACAUGAAACAUCUCAAAAUAAAUACAUAGGUGUAGUA